GUAAUCUUUCAGCUUAAAGAUCAAAAUUUUCUGCAUAACAUGGAGGUCCCUCAUUUCACUUCUGCAAAUUCUGUAACUGCUUAAAGUUUAAGAUCUCUAACAGAUAAUGGUUCAACAUAAUGGAGAAAAACAACAGAAUAGAUCUCUCAUUGCACAAGUAUUUACUGUCACUUUGAUGUACGAUCGUCAAACAAAUUGUCGAUGAGUAACAAACCAAUGCGCUAAUAAAAAUUCUCAAUUCAAGGGAUCAAGAAGAAUGAGUAGGGUAUUUCCAUAACACAUCACCCCAGGUGCUCUGCCCAUCAGUUACCUCCUUAAUAACAGAUGCUACUUCAUCAACAUUCACACGAAUCUGCUGCUUGCUGUCUCUUUCACGGAUCGUCACAGAGGAUGCUGAAUCCACUGUAAUGGCAAAGGGAACUCCAAGUUCAUCUGUUCUUGCAUACCUUUUCCCUAUUGACGUACCUGUUAUGUCAAUCUUAUACGAGAUCCCAUAGACAGUCAGUGACCUAGCAAUUUGUCUAGCAACUUCCUCAUAUUGUUGAUUCUGAACCAAUGGAAACACCGUGCAUUUGAUAGGAGCUACGAGAGGAGGGAAACUGAAAAAGUUCAUUUGUUCAUCACCGUCUCUGUUAGGUCUGGUGUUGAAAGAAUGCUCAUAGAGGCAGUAUAUUAUCCUCCCAAUACCAAAAGAUGGCUCAAUGACUGAUGGAGUAAAAACCCUCUGGUGCUCCUUCUUUAUUUCCUUGGAGAUGGACACCAUAUUCUUCUUUAUAGUGACAACCUUCUCGAGCGUGCAAACAUUAAAUGCGGCCUCCCCCUUAGACUCCAAUGUUUCUUUCAUUUCCAUUGCUUCUUUUUCACCCAUAGCCUCCAGUGCUUCAACCACCAUUUUUUGGUUA
This 902-nucleotide unclassified non-coding RNA is filed under the name Hevea brasiliensis (rubber tree). The record is from RNAcentral. Lineage: Eukaryota; Viridiplantae; Streptophyta; Magnoliopsida; Malpighiales; Euphorbiaceae.